GAUGAACGCUAGCGGCAGGCCUAACACAUGCAAGUCGAGGGGUAUAUAAUGCUUGCAUUAUAGAGACCGGCGCACGGGUGAGUAACGCGUAUGGAAUCUGCCUUGUACAGGGGAAUAGCCCAGGGAAACUUGGAUUAAUGCCCCAUAGUAUUAUGAGACGGCAUUGUUUUAUAAUUAAAGAUUUAUCGGUACAAGAUGAUCAUGCGUCCCAUUAGCUUGUUGGUGUGGUAACGGCACACCAAGGCUACGAUGGGUAGGGGCCCUGAGAGGGGGAUCCCCCACACUGGUACUGAGACACGGACCAG
RNAcentral lists this ribosomal RNA (305 nucleotides) under uncultured bacterium. Its description in RNAcentral is "bacterial SSU rRNA". It matches the Rfam family "Bacterial small subunit ribosomal RNA", at positions 28 to 334 of the family's 1533-position model. The record is from RNAcentral.